GACGAACGCUGGCGGCGUGCCUAAUACAUGCAAGUAGAACGCUGAAGAGAGGAGCUUGCUCUUCUUGGAUGAGUUGCGAACGGGUGAGUAACGCGUAGGUAACCUGACUUGUAGCGGGGGAUAACUAUUGGAAACGAUAGCUAAUACCGCAUAACAAUGGAUGACACAUGUCAUUUAUUUGAAAGGGGCAAUUGCUCCACUACAAGAUGGACCUGCGUUGUAUUAGCUAGUAGGUGAGGUAAUGGCUCACCUAGGCGACGAUACAUAGCCGACCUGAGAGGGUGAUCGGCCACACUGGGACUGAGACACGGCCCAGACUCCUACGGGAGGCAGCAGUAGGGAAUCUUCGGCAAUGGGGGCAACCCUGACCGAGCAACGCCGCGUGAGUGAAGAAGGUUUUCGGAUCGUAAAGCUCUGUUGUAAGUCAAGAACGGGUGUGAGAGUGGAAAGUUCACACUGUGACGGUAGCUUACCAGAAAGGGACGGCUAACUACGUG
This 497-nucleotide ribosomal RNA is filed under the name uncultured bacterium. Its description in RNAcentral is "partial 16S ribosomal RNA". It matches the Rfam family "Bacterial small subunit ribosomal RNA", at positions 28 to 507 of the family's 1533-position model. The record is from RNAcentral.